This 253-nucleotide ribosomal RNA is filed under the name uncultured bacterium. RNAcentral's name for it is "partial 16S ribosomal RNA". It matches the Rfam family "Bacterial small subunit ribosomal RNA", at positions 524 to 776 of the family's 1533-position model. The record is from RNAcentral.
UACGUAGGGCGCAAGCGUUGUCCGGAAUUAUUGGGCGUAAAGAGCUCGUAGGUGGCUUGUCGCGUCUGCCGUGAAAGCCCAUGGCUUAACUGUGGGUCUGCGGUGGAUACGGGCUGGCUAGAGGUAGGUAGGGGCAAGCGGAAUUCCUGGUGUAGCGGUGAAAUGCGCAGAUAUCAGGAAGAACACCCGUGGCUAAGGCGGCUCUCUAGUACGGUACUGACGCUGAGACGCGAAAGCGUGGGGAGCGAACAGG